GACGAACGCUGGCGGCGUGCUUAACACAUGCAAGUCGAACGGAAAGGCCCUGCUUUUGUGGGGUGCUCGAGUGGCGAAAGGGUGAGUAACACGUGAGUAACCUGCCCUUGACUUUGGGAUAACUUCAGGAAACUGGGGCUAAUACCGGAUAGGAGCUCCUGCUGCAUGGUGGGGGUUGGAAAGUUUCGGCGGUUGGGGAUGGACUCGCGGCUUAUCAGCUUGUUGGUGGGGUAGUGGCUUACCAAGGCUUUGACGGGUAGCCGGCCUGAGAGGGUGAGCGGCCAAAUUGGGACUGGAAUACGGCACAGACUCCUACGGGAGGCAGCGGUGGAGAAGAUUGCACAAUGGGAGGAAGCCAGAUGCAGCAACGCCGCGUGCGGGAUGAGGGCCUGCGGGUUGUAAACCGCUUUCGUCUGUGACGAAGCGUGAGUGACGGUAAUGGGUAAAGAAGCACCGGCUAACUACGUG
RNAcentral lists this ribosomal RNA (468 nucleotides) under uncultured bacterium. RNAcentral describes it as "partial 16S ribosomal RNA". It matches the Rfam family "Bacterial small subunit ribosomal RNA", at positions 28 to 507 of the family's 1533-position model. The record is from RNAcentral.